UGGGGAAUAUUGCACAAUGGGCGCAAGCCUGAUGCAGCCAUGCCGCGUGUGUGAAGAAGGCCUUCGGGUUGUAAAGCACUUUCAGCGAGGAGGAAGGUGGUGGACUUAAUACGUUCAUCAAUUGACGUUACUCGCAGAAGAAGCACCGGCUAACUCCGGUGCCAGCAGCCGCGGUAAUACGGAGGGUGCAAGCGUUAAUCGGAAUUACUGGGCGUAAAGCGCACGCAGGCGGUUUGUUAAGUCAGAUGUGAAAUCCCCGGGCUCAACCUGGGAACUGCAUUUGAAACUGGCAAGCUAGAGUCUCGUAGAGGGGGGUAGAAUUCCAGGUGUAGCGGUGAAAUGCGUAGAGAUCUGGAGGAAUACCGGUGGCGAAGGCGGCCCCCUGGACGAAGACUGACGCUCGAGGUGCGAAAAGCGUGGGGAGCAAACAGGAUUAG
This 437-nucleotide ribosomal RNA is filed under the name uncultured bacterium. RNAcentral's name for it is "partial 16S ribosomal RNA". It matches the Rfam family "Bacterial small subunit ribosomal RNA", at positions 355 to 781 of the family's 1533-position model. The record is from RNAcentral.